GGCGGGAGGCGGAGAGGAGGAGGAGGAGGAGGACACACGCCAGGCGCAGCGCGGCGGCAACAACAGCGGCAGCGGCGGCAACAGCGGGGAGACACCGGCGGCGGCUCCUCGGAAGCGGCAGCCGCGCCAGCAGCGCCCCGCGCGUCCCCUCCCUCCCUCCCCCGCCGCGGAGACAGGGGGCAGCGCCGAGAGGAGAACCGGGCUCAGCGUGUGUGUGCGCGGGAGGAGGAGGACGAGAAGGAGGGGGGGACACACCGAGGACUGCGCCGGCCGAGGGCGCACGGAGCAGGGAAGCGGCGGCGGCGGCACCGAGAGGCGGCGGCGGGUCCUUGUGCCCGGAGAGGAGGGCGCAGCCCGCACGGGGGUUUCUACUGAGUUUCCUCUUUUUUUUUUUUCUUUUUUUUUUUUUUUUCCUUGGUCCCUGGGACUCAGCGGCGGGUCUGCGUUUGUCUCCGGAUUUGAAUCCUCCUCCUUCUCCUCCUUCCUCGGGGAAGCUCCCCUCCCCGCCCCCUCCCCUCCCCCACCGCCUCCCUGCCCGCCCGGAUCCAGCCGGGCGCCCCGUGCCGCGGUCGCGUUGCUCGGCAGAGCUGCUGCGGGCGCUCGCCGUCUCUGCGCGGGCUUGGAAUAUGGUUGGGGAAAUGGAAACCAAGGAGAAGCCGAAGCCGAGCCCCGAUUACCUGAUGCAGCUGAUGAACGACAAGAAGCUGAUGAGCAGCCUCCCCAACUUCUGCGGGAUCUUCAACCACCUCGAGAGGCUGCUGGACGAAGAAAUUAGCAGAGUACGGAAAGACAUGUAUAACGACACAUUAAAUGGUAGUACGGAGAAGAGAAGUGCAGAAUUACCAGAUGCUGUGGGACCUAUUGUACAGUUACAAGAGAAACUAUAUGUGCCUGUAAAAGAAUAUCCAGAUUUUAACUUUGUUGGAAGAAUCCUUGGGCCCAGAGGACUAACAGCUAAACAGCUUGAGGCAGAAACAGGAUGCAAGAUAAUGGUCCGAGGGAAGGGCUCAAUGAGGGACAAAAAGAAGGAAGAACAGAAUCGAGGCAAGCCCAACUGGGAACACCUGAAUGAAGAUUUACAUGUACUUAUCACUGUGGAGGAUGCUCAAAACAGAGCAGAAAUAAAGCUGAAGAGGGCUGUUGAAGAAGUAAAAAAGUUACUGAUACCUGCAGCAGAAGGAGAAGACAGCCUUAAAAAGAUGCAGCUGAUGGAGCUUGCAAUUCUGAAUGGCACCUACAGAGAUGCCAACAUCAAAUCACCAGCCCUUGCCUUUUCUCUUGCAGCAACAGCCCAGGCUCCAAGGAUUAUUACUGGGCCUGCGCCUGUUCUCCCACCAGCUGCCCUGCGUACUCCUACGCCAGCUGGCCCUACCAUAAUGCCUUUGAUCAGACAAAUACAAACCGCUGUCAUGCCAAACGGAACUCCUCAUCCCACCGCUGCAAUAGUUCCUCCCGGACCCGAGGCCGGUUUAAUUUACACACCAUACGAGUACCCCUACACGCUGGCACCAGCUACAUCAAUCCUUGAGUACCCUAUUGAACCUAGUGGUGUAUUAGGUAUGGCUUUCCCAACGAAAGGCUAAGAAUUCAAGAACGGUCUUAACUGAUCCUUCAUCAGAUCUGAAUUUUAACAAAUGCUUAGUUUUCAGCAGCCUUGAAAAAAGCUUGGCCUAGCAGUCAGUGACUUACUUGCACUUUUUUGCACAUAGAUUUAAAAUAAAAUAGUGCUAUUAAUUUGGAUUAGGUCCUAUUGUUACAGAGUAGCUGUAAUUUAUGAGUGUAUAGUAGUAUACUGACUGCUAAGUGUUCUAUAUAGUGUUUGCUUUACUAAUCACCUAAUUCAUUGCAGUUCAUACUUAUUGACUUAAAGUUUAAAAUCACAAUCUGUAGGCUUGAAGAAUUGCUUUAAAACUUUUUUUUGUGGUAGAACUGGAAGUGAUCUUAAGGUUAGCAAAUAAUUGUCAGUAUUAAAGAUGGCAUUAUUUAAAAUAGUCCUGCUGCAAGAAAGGCACUUCAGUGAAUAUGUGACUAGUAAAGCUUAAAUGUGCUUGGGUCUAAUAGAUUUCAUGAAAUACUGUAAUUUUGGGAUUGUAAAUGAAUGGAUUAAACAGGUUAAGGCCAGGAUGUUUAAAAUAAAUGCAAUAUUAAUCUGCACAGAUAAACUUCUUUUUAAGAUUAAGAUUUGAAACUACUGUGCCUUAACUUGUUGCUUUUCUUAAAAUGAACUUUUGUAGUUAAUGAUCAUUUAAAUCCAUUUUGAUAAACCUGCUGUUAAUGUUUUCUGUGAAUGUUUUCUAACUUUGUCUUGGUAAUUGCAAUUUAACUAGGUGCGGUGGCUACUAAAGUUCGAAGGCACGAUAUGCGUGUCCAUCCUUACCAAAGGAUUGUGACCGCAGACCGAGCCGCCACCGGCAACUAACCUAUGACCUUCUGACCUCUGAACUCUUCACCCAAUGAUGACCUGACCAUGCCUGCCUGCUGAUCAGUUAACUGGUAAACGCCUUUGCUUGCCUGUCUUCAGUGCAGCGAGCUGGGGCACUUGUCCGUUCGUCUUACCAUCUAACAAAACAGACAAAGAAAUUGUUGUCCUCCAACUCCGCUUUUUGUUGUUCUCCUGUUUGGGUGAAAGUGGUUCUAGAACCUGCACUGAAUAGUAGUAAAGCAAUAAGGUCCAACUCAUCCCUCCGCACUGAUCAUCCUCUAGUGUCCCGCCCCAAGCGAACGGUAAGGAGGCCUCGCACGAGAUGGAGACAGAUGUCCCUUAACUACCCGAUGACAGAGGCAGUUACUGUGAGAGACUUCUAGGAAUAUUUUUCUUCUCAGAAAAAAAAAAAAAAAAAGAAAAAAAAGAAAAAAAAGUCAAAGCUCUCUCUGAAUGUACUGUGUGAUGAUGCAUCAUGCAUGAACCUUUGGUCAGGGAUGUCAUUGGGGAAGGGAUUCCAAAAAGUAUUCAAAAUUUGAUAUGCUGUUUAGUCACUACCAGUGCCCUCAAAGGGCAGAUGUUGCAGCCUUUUUUCUAUUGCCUGCCAAAUUGGACGUUUUAAAGGAAAGUGUGCCAUGAAAUACAGAUUACAAUGACUUUUCAGAAGUACAUUAAUGCAGAGAACAAAACAGCAACACUAUUAAAGCAAAAUACAAGUUUAAAUUGUUUUAACCAUAUUUCAAUCUCCUUGGAAGAUUACAUGAGAACAAGGUACAUGCAUUAUGUGUCACAUUACUGGGCAAACUGUUCAAAUAUUUUUUUUAAACCUCCCUGUAUAGAAAAAAUUUCAUUAAGGAUGUAAAAGCCAUGCUUGCCUAUUUGCUGUAUACAUGUAAUGAAAUGUAGAUAAAGUGUAGUGCAUUGAAACAAAAUGAACAAAAAAGUAGAUACUUUUACUAUACAAGGGUGCUGGUGCAGAAAAAAAAUAUAUUUUUGGAAAUGUAGCAUUUUAUACUUUCAAGUGUUAUAAAAAAAGAAAAAAAGAACAAAGAAACCCUUUAUUUCAUUAAAUGAUUUUUUCUGGUGGUUGUCAAGAAACAAAAGACCAAAAGAGCCUUUUAGUCUUUCUUUUUUAUUUUUUAAGUAUUGGAAUAAGUCUAAAGAAAAGGAAGUGCCUUAUUUUCUUCAUGGUCAUUUAGUCAAAUGUCUUGUAUAAUCAGCUUCUCCCUCAGACAAGUUACUGCAUGCCACUCAGUCGCCCAGUAUGUGAAAGAAGCUGUGAGGGAAGACAAAUGAUGAGUUGACCAUAUUAAUUACCUGAUUUUUGCCAUACUAGUGUGAUGUGACUUUGCCAAAAUCUCAUUAAGUGAAGUAUUUGCUAAGUUUUCAUCAAACCAGCCCAUUAUUAUUUCAGCCACUCUACUUUUUAAAUCAUAGCAAAUGCCGUACUUGUGCAACUUAAACCAAAGGGUUCUGUGAUACAGACUGUCUCAUGCUAAAGGAGAUUAUUAGCUGACAAAUGUUUGUAGAGCUAGAAGUUACGUCAUUUUUGUUCAGGGAUAGAGAGGAGUUUUCUCGAUUCUGGUUGAAAUAAAUAUUACAUCAACUGUAGUAGGCUUCGGCAUCACCCAGAAAAUUGAUGUUCUGCAGAUAAUGAAACUGAAAGUGCUUAGCGAGUUUUCAGUCAGUGACUGAGCACAUCCCCAGUUUCCAGGAACAGCUUCUACAGUGGCAAACAGCAUGGAAGUUGCUUUACUUUUCAGCUCAUCUUUGACUAUUGUUAAAUCUGGCCCAUUGGCUUUUCUUGAAAAGAUAAGCAGGAGAGGGACUUCAGCCAUUUGAAGUCCAGCUAUACCUUAUUUUUAACCCUUGUUUCCACAUGAGGUUCGAAUAGCUGGGCAAUUGCAAGAGCUGAAGCUGUUGAACGCACAGUGUUUAAUUCUGAAAACAUUAAGUGUUACAUUGUGGGGCUCAGUACUAAACUUGGCAAAUAUCAGGUGAUAAUUUUACUCCCCUCUUGUCAACUUAUUCUCCUCCUGCAAAUCUUCACAGCUUCCAAAUGAAAGGUCAAUAUUAAGCUAAGAGGGCUUACAUUUUUAAGCACCUGCAUGGUGACCUCAUCUAACAUCUUGUCUCACCUGGAAAUAAUUAUCAGUUUAUUUACUAUGCAAUAGACAUUCAUCCUUUCGUAUUCAGCUAGAUUUUUGUUUAUUGUGCCACCAGCUUUGUCUUCCUGUUACACAUACAGUUGUGUUGAUUUUAUUUACAGUAUAUGCUGUGCCAUUUUGAUUUUAUUUUGGUUGGUUGGUUGAAUAAACUUGCGACACUCGAACAUUUGAAGAGAGAUUUGCUAAAACAAUACCAGUAUUUGAUCCAGUUUCAUCUCAACUAUGAUAAAACCUGGACAUUUUAGACAUUUAUCAAAGGUCUUUUUUUGGGGGGGAGGGGAAGUGUAUGGAAUAGAUGUGUGACAUGUGAAAGUAAUGUUUGCUCUGAACAAACUUCUGAAAACUUAGUUGACAAAAUUUUGGAUCAGCUUAAAAAAAAAGCAUGACUUUUGAAAUCUCUGAAUGCCUUGGUUCUCAGUAUUAUCAUUCUUUAAUGACUUUUUCUUUAUUAAAAUAAGUAGUUUUAAGACUUCUUUCUGACAGUAUUAUGUAAUUUUUUUAGAGUGGGUAGAUGGGAGUGUCGCUUGUAUGUAACCGUACAGAUGACAUGUAUUUGUCUAUUCUUUAUUAUCUUAGUAGUUUCAUGCUAUGUAUGUACCAUAACCAACCUAUUGCCUAUGAGAAACAUGUAAGAUAAUGUAUUUACAGCCAUUGUUACAAGUUUAUAAUGUAUUUUUCUAUCUUGUUUUAUAUGUAUGUUAUAUAACAUUCAAAAGAAUUUUUUUCCUGAUUGAGAAAAAAGGAUACAAAAUGCAAAACCCACAAUUUUGAUAACUGAAAAAUUGCCAAUUGUUUUGCAGUACUUUAUUAUAUUGGGAGUGUUGUCUUUCUUGGGCUUUUAGUUAGCUACUGGAUGAAUACAUUAGACAUAUUUGGGUUUUAGUUGGGUUUUUACAUAGCUUGCAUUUUAAUUCUUUGGUUCUUUGCUGUUUCUAUUAACCCAUAGCAUUAUUUUAAUAAAUGUUAUAAUACCAACCUACUAACUCUGGAUUAUGUCUGUUUAUUAACCAUUACAUGUUUAAUUAAAAUAAACAAAUAAAGACGGAAGAAUGUGAAGUCGAGUUACUGGACUAACCCUGAAGAACGUGACCACAGAUAACACAACGUGACUUGUUUUUAUGUUGUUUGUCAGCUGACAUUCUGCACACUACUAUUAAGUUGGCUUUGGUCAUUCUGGCCUUUUACCUUGGGGAAUAGGUGCCAGUAGAAAUGGGAACAAAGUAGCAUUUUUGAGGCAUUCUUCUUGUAGAGUCUUGCCACUUGCCUUUCAGCAUCUGCAUUACUAAUUCCACACUUUCUUUUUCUUUCUCUAAAAUAAUUGUUGUUGGCUCACAGCAAAAGAGCAAAAGAUGCCAGUGUAUUGGUAAAUUUUGAUGGUGUACAGAAACCAGUUUGAUUCUUUGUUGAACCAUUCAGAGGUUGCAGUUAAUCGCACAGUAAUUUGUGAUUUGUUGGUUUUGGCACCUGAUUCACUGUUGCAUCACGUGAUGUUUCUAAGCACAAAACAUUUCUGGGUAGAAUUGCUGUACAUUGAAACGCAAAACCUGGGGGUUUCCAUUGGCAAAAGUGCCUUAUUUAUACCAUGCUGUUUCAAGUAACUUUAUUUUUGGUACUUCUGCUGAAGUCUAUCAGUAUUGCCUAGCUCAGGGGAGUACAACUUCUGUAAGCCAAAGGUCAGACUGGAUUUUUUCCUAGUGACUGCAGAAAGUACAAAAAUACACCUUUCACUAAAUUACCAAGCAGCAUCCAUUUCAAAUUCCAGAGCUGCCUUUAUGUGAUCUUUAUCCUUGUGGAUGACUGGAGCAACAUGAAUGCAGGGAAUUGAAAUGGUGAAAAUGCUGUUUUGAAUGUUCAGCUAUGCAAAUAUUUUUACAGAUAUGCUUCCCCUUUCUUAGAACUACACUGUCUGAGGCUCCUUUAUAUCUCCCAGGUAGUUCUAGAUUUGUAACCUUGAGUGGGCAGUAAUUAUCACUAAUGUUGAGAGAGAUCCUCAAUGCAGAUAACUUCUCAGAUGUCAACAGUUUUCUUCCUGAAAGUCCAUUUUUUCCUGUAGAUAGUAAAAUUUCAGAUGAGGAAUCUGAAUCUGUUCAAAUUCCUCCUUUAAUUUAUGACUUUUCAAGCUAUUUAUCUUGAAAUACAUGCAAUAUAAAACUAUAAAUAGAGUUCUCACAGUAUUGCUAGUAAUUAAAAUUUUAUGCAUCUUUAUGGAGAAAAAUAGUCUAGCUUUGAUAACAUUUGUUAGUUUUCUAAUGGCAUGUAGUUCUUUGUUUUACAAAAGUUUUAGGUAGAGAUGAAAUACUAAUUCAUUUUGAAUAGUUUCACUUGUGCAGAAUUUUUUUUUUAAUUUAACAGACGUUGUUGCUAUCCUAAAACUCAGCCACAGGCAGAUAAUAGGAAUAUUAGAUAUUGAUAACAGAUAAUAUCAGGACCUUUUGACUGGAUAAUGGAACAAGUGUCAUUACAGAGCAAAUAAUUUACAUUCUUAAAGAAUUUUAUCAGAGGCGCACAUGUAGUUUGGUGAAGUACUGUGUCCAAUAUAGGUGAAACUAUUCAAAUGGAACAAAAUUUUAAUUUUCUAUAUUGAAGAAUACUUCUAUUUCCAGAACUACUGCUUUUCUAUAAUAUUUUUAUUAUUUUGGGUUUUUAUCAAUAGAUGUUAACUGCUGUUAUACUUUGUCCACAGUGCAUUUUCAUCUCAUUCUUCAGUAUAUACAGUAGUCGAAGUUGCUGUAAAUUUUGUAGUACUUUAAAGCUGAAGGAAAACAAAAAUAGGAAAACGCUAAAAUCAAAAUAAUAUAUGCAUUAUUGUUGCCUGCCAAAGGUAUUUCUCAGUUUACCUGAGUGCCUGUCUGAAAAUUUAACUAUUUUAUACUUUACCUGCUUAUAGGAAAGGUACGAACUGUUUUCAUCACCAAAUUUGAGGAUGACUUCAAUAUUGCUAAAUCACUGAAGUUAGCUUCUUUUUCUUUCUUACCAUUCUGAGAUUAAAUUGUGUUAACGUUUGAAAGAUCAUACAUUCAAGACAAUUAGAUCAUUGGUCUUUGAUCCAAUAAAGUGGGAUUUAUCUUAGAGGAAAUAUUUUUUUUGUUGGUGAGAAUAUAAACAAAAAUGUAAUCUAGACUUUCAAAGUAAAAUCUGAGCAAUGGUGUUCAUAUCUUAAAUGUUGUACCAAAGUACAACCAACUUAGUUUCUUCAAGUAUAUUUUUGUGAAUAUUAUAAAGUGCCUUCAAGAACAUCUUUUAAGAUAUUUUUAAUGAGCAUAUGUUCAGUAUUCUGACGAUUCUGAUCUUUUAUUUGAAUGUAUCUUUUGAUAGUGUUUCCAAAAUCUACAUGUAGCAAAAGGUUUAUUGCCAGAUUGUGCUCCAUGAGGGGGACCACUAAAAGGUUUUCUGCCCUGAAAAUGCAGGGAAGCAUUGAAGUGUGUUACCAUCCAUUAAGAAAUUAACUUGGGGGAAACAUACUUAAGAGUAUGAAACUGAGUUCUUUGUGUCUGGAUAAAAAUACCAGAAAUGGCACAUUGUACAGAAUGGAAUCUGAGUAACACAUUCCUAGGGCUGGAAGUACAUAACUGUUCCCGGAAUUUCUGUUUUGUUUUAAUAUGUUUGAUCCAUUUUUUUUCUAAAACACUGUUAAUGGAAUACUGUCCAAGUAACACAUGGCCCAUAGCAUUAACACGUGGUAAUCAAUGUUGAAUCAAACUGGUUAACGCAAGUACAGCCAGCGCUCUUCCUUCUCUGUGCCUGCGCACUAAUUGCAGGUGCUGCAUAGGGGCUGGGGCUUAGGCACAGCAGGCUGCAGUCCUGAUUUCUUGGUGCCUGCACUUGGGGUGUCCGUCUUUGACAGCAGACUAACUGGGAGGAGUCUGCCUCCCAAGGCAAAGAUUAACCGAGAUCUGAAACUCUUAGUAGAAUUAACUGAAAAUACAGCAACAAUAAAGCGACAUAUAUACAUA
This is an RNA transcript of Zonotrichia leucophrys gambelii, 8543 nucleotides long. It is a transcript of the gene named QKI, KH domain containing RNA binding, with no coding region annotated. The record is from RefSeq and is a predicted model, not a curated record. The transcript has 8 exons. NCBI's taxonomy places the organism in Eukaryota, Metazoa, Chordata, Aves, Passeriformes, Passerellidae.